AACGUUAGUCUCGAUUUUAUGACUCCUGAAAUCUAAUCUCGCGGGUGAGAUCGAGCGAGAACAAAAGAGAGUUUGCACGCUUCUAUUGCUUAUUGUGGAUAUUAUAUGACAGCGUACAUUCUAAAUGAUAUGCGGAGAUUACGUUCAUGAGGCUCGAUCGAUUCAGAAGCUGAGUAUGGAGCGAUAAGGGGAAGGGGAAAGAGGAAAGAGAAGGUACACAAUGUACGCUUGUUGCGGAUUGCUGUUUCACAUUCCGACAUAAUAGUCCUGAGAGGACGUAGCAGUUUUUUUUCGAGAACGUGCAGCAAUUUUUCUAUUAUGCUAAAUUCAAUAAAACCAAUGGUCUUUAGUAUCAUCUCGCUGGUACCCAAAUAUCAACAUGUCCGAAUCGUAGCAAUUCGUGCCAAAACGCGAAGAAUUAUUAUAAUAUGAAAGUUUGUAUAUAGUACGUACUACACUAAAAAAUUGAGGCAUAAUUUUAUUCUUUCUUUGAAAAAGUAGAGAAAUUUCAAGUCGUUCUUCUCUGAUGAAGUGGAUUGAAAUGUUCGCGAAAUGUCGGAAUCAGACAAAGAAGAAUCCACGCGGUUUAAACUUGGAUACUAAAUCUAAUAUUCAUAGACAUUGUGAAAGUUUCAAAUGUAAAAAAAGAGUGUAAUUUGUAUGAUGAUAAUGAUAUUGAGACAGUUUUAAGAAAAAAUUUUACAGCUCUCUUGAAAUUUUAACUUCUCAGACUUAUCUUCAAAUAAUGAUUUUAUUUAUUUAUUAUGGAUUUGCAGAUGUAUACAAAUUAAGAUCCAUCAAAUUUUGAAAGUUUUAAUGAAUUUUCUCAAGUUCGGGGUUAAACAAAGAACUAACCAGCUACAAUGAUUUUUAAAAUAUAUCUUUCAUCUUCAACGAUUUUGUACAAAAAAUGUUCGCUCUAUUCCAUUGUAGCAGAGCCGUCGCAUAGUACAAGAUAAGACUUAAGGGAGAGGGAGGGUGCUUUCGUAAUAUGCACACACACAUACACGCACACACGCGCGCGCGCGUGUGAAAGCCGCGCACACCGCAGUCAUCUGUUGUAAUUACAUUAAAAGAUAUGUGAUCCCUUCCGUUUAACUCAACUAGUGCAGCCACAGAUAUCUAUAUUAUACUAUAUCGUACUACAUAUACGUACAUGUCUAUAUUAUACUACAUCGUACUACAUGUACAUAUCUACAUUAUACUAACUUGAGGCUUUGACGUAUAAAAUGACUGAACAGGAUUUCCGAUUUCGGCCAUGAUACCUUACAACAAAAUAGCCACUUCCGUUUUUUUAA
Long non-coding RNA from Odontomachus brunneus, 1298 nucleotides. RefSeq lists it as uncharacterized. The transcript is spliced from 3 exons. The record is from RefSeq and is a predicted model, not a curated record. NCBI's taxonomy places the organism in Eukaryota, Metazoa, Arthropoda, Insecta, Hymenoptera, Formicidae.